CUUGUGACAAAGAAUUAAAAAGGAAGAAAGAAAAAAAUCAAUUCAGCAAUACUAAUACAUUGACUGAGUUGGACAGUGUUCCACACCCAUGGUCUACAAAGAAGAGAGGGAUAUGAGUCUUUUCAUCUCUUCUUCAGGGCUAAGUUUCCAGGGAAAUUGCCAAUUGUUCCAAUCAGCCACUGUUAAUAAUUCCUCCAUAGAUUGGACCUAUGAUUUCACUGAUACAGAAAACUCCCAGGGGGAGUCCACCCAAUGUACCAAAGAACCACUAAGUAAAUCCAAUAUGGAGGAAUAAUGGGAGUACACAAUCAAGAGUUCCACAAGAUGAGCAAGCAUAGAUGAAAUUUGAGAUGAAUCAUUGGUUUUGGUGGGAGUUGUCAUAUUCUCUUCACUUGCUUGGUACCCACACAUACAAAAAAUAGAUAAUUUCCAUCAUAUGAAAUUUAAAAGCACUAGCAAAAUCAAUGCAACUAGGAUAAGAAAGGCAAUAGUUGAUUGGCAAAAGACAUUUGUAUCAAAUACCUCUAAUAAGAGUCUGAUAUCUAAGAUACAUAUGUGUGUGUGUUUGUGCAUGUGUGUAUAUAUACAUAUACAUCCACACACAUAUGCAUAUAUAUACAA
Long non-coding RNA from Dromiciops gliroides (monito del monte), 621 nucleotides. RefSeq lists it as uncharacterized. NCBI's taxonomy places the organism in Eukaryota, Metazoa, Chordata, Mammalia, Microbiotheria, Microbiotheriidae. The record is from RefSeq and is a predicted model, not a curated record. The transcript has 3 exons.